ACUUUAUAAACUUUAUAAAGUGGAACCAGGUGUGGCAGCUCAUGCCCGUAAUCCCAGCACUUUGGGAAGCUAAGGCAGGAGGAUCACUUGAGGCCAGGAGUUCAGGAACAGCCUGAGCAAGCAACUUCCAGUCCUAUAAGCUCUAUUGAUGGUAUGGACCCUACACAGAAAUGUUCCUGUGGACCUAAAAUGUACAACUGUUCUUUAAAUAAAACUUCAACUGAUUUAACUUUAUAAGCUACAGGAAACAACAAGUGAAAUGAAAUAUACUAACAUAUAUAGGUAUACAGGAGUCUCUCUCCAUGGCCACCAUAGCUGAAAAUGUGGUGGGUCACAUCUGAAGCCAGCACAGCCCUGCGUCUUAUCCAAGGCCCACAGCAAGUACUGCCUGGGUACCAGUGAUGUUCAAGGCCCAACAUCUCUUUAGUCAGCUGGUGAUGAAUCCUGCUAGAACUGGAUCCUUCCCUUCAAGGCAGAAGGUUCCCCUCUGGCUCAUGGUGUGUCUAGAAAUGUAGUCUAGGAGCUACAGCCUAGAAUGGGGGGCCUCAGGACUCUGCCUGAUACCCUAUUCUACUGUGGCUGAGCUGGCAUCCAAGUUGCAAGACAUAGUUGCCUUUACUCUCUACUAUCUUCACCUCAAGCAGAAGGAAGGAGUCUCUCCCAGAGUUGUAAGCUGCAUUGCCUAGGGUUGGGGGAGGGUUGAUGCAAGUACUCCCUGGGCCACCCUAGCUGGUAUCUCAUCAGGUCAUGUGGACCCCAAAUCAACUGGCUCUGAACCCAGCAUAACACGUGUCCAGGAAUUACAACCCUUGUGGCCUAGACUGCCUUUCAAGUUUACUUAUGACCCCAGAGAACUUUAGCUCAUGGUGGCAGGGUUUGCUGGAAUUGGAACUCAGAUUCAGACCUCUGGGAUAGACAACUUGCCUCUGUCUAGGGCUGAUCUAAAUGCUCUUUGUGGGUGCUGGUUGAGUUCUGCCAAGUGUUGCUUUCCGCUGUGACACAGAAGCACUGUGGAUGCAACAUCCUACGAGCAUGGUGCUCUCCCUUCCCCAAGCACACAGAUUCUCUUUCCACGCCAUGUGGCCACUGCAGGGGGAUGGGGGAGGGAUGGUGUAGGUGAUUAAAGACUGUCUUUCCUAUCCUACUCCAUGCCUCCUUCCUUAAUAUAGUUAUUCAAUUUGAUGUUCCUGCAGAGGGGAUGACCACCGGAGGCUUCUAAUCGGCCAUCUUGCUCUGCUUCCUCUCUAGGAUUGGGCCUUAUUAAUAUUACAUUAUUACUAUCACCUUUUCACAAUCUUGUCAAAAGAGGGAGGAAAAAAAGAACACUCAAGAAACCUUAUAUUUUUAGUGAUCUUUGUGUUAGUUUACUUAACUUAGAAAAGAAACAAGUCUUUAAUGAUAAUUUAAUUUACAAGAUUUUUCUUACUUAACUCCCAGGGGGACUGGAGUCAAUCAUAUGGUGGGACAGUAAGUGAUUAAAUUUUUACAUUUCUAAGAUCUUCAUACAGUUUAACACAAAACAAACCAACAGAUAUCAUCUAAUAUAUAAUUUACUUCAAAUGCUUUUGUGGCACAUUACAGUAGUACAUGCAUAAGAUGGCAUUCAUUGAAAAGUCAGGGACAUCUAGAUAGUCACCAAAGUUUAAGGGAGUUGUAAAAUCAAAAAGGUCACUGUAAGGGUAGAUUCUAAAAUCUACUCAUGUAUCUGGGAAGAUCAUGGCUCAAACAAAACAUGGUUGGAAUAACCAGUUUUUUGGCCCUUUUUUAUUAUGUAGUAAUAAAUUGCUCCAGUUGAAUGCUUCACC
Molecule: long non-coding RNA, 1805 nt
Organism: Pan troglodytes (chimpanzee)
Lineage: Eukaryota; Metazoa; Chordata; Mammalia; Primates; Hominidae
Exons: 4
Source: RefSeq, a predicted model, not a curated record